GGAAGUGAAGAUGUCUUAGUUGUGAUAUCUGCCACGUCAGUGAUUGCCAGAGUUGAUUUGGCUGAUCUAGGCAUGUGUUUCCUUCCUCUCGCCCUCUUCCAUGUGCAUUACUCCCAGAGCUGUGUGCUCAGUAGAGGAGGACAGCCUUUGCCAAGAGAUGAGGAAAUGAGGACCAUUCUUCUGUCAAGGGUAGAUUGAGUGGCUGUGUUUCCCUUCUCCAACCUCUACACAAGUCCUCAAGAAGUCUACCAAUAACAAACACAAUGAUAGGGAAUGACAUUAAUUAUGCCUGCUUCCUCUGCCCAUCACCAUGUUCCUUCUUCA
This 324-nucleotide small nuclear RNA is filed under the name Nannospalax galili (Upper Galilee mountains blind mole rat). Its description in RNAcentral is "7SK RNA (ENSNGAG00000005362.1)". It matches the Rfam family "7SK RNA". From Rfam's summary of the family: 7SK was discovered as an abundant small nuclear RNA in the mid-70s but a possible function has only recently been suggested. Two independent studies have found that 7SK RNA binds the CDK9/cyclin T complex (known as elongation factor P-TEFb). The record is from RNAcentral. Lineage: Eukaryota; Metazoa; Chordata; Mammalia; Rodentia; Spalacidae.